This 492-nucleotide ribosomal RNA is filed under the name uncultured bacterium. Its description in RNAcentral is "partial 16S ribosomal RNA". It matches the Rfam family "Bacterial small subunit ribosomal RNA", at positions 29 to 507 of the family's 1533-position model. The record is from RNAcentral.
AGUGAACGCUGGCGGUAGGCCUAACACAUGCAAGUCGAACGGCAGCACAGUAAGAGCUUGCUCUUACGGGUGGCGAGUGGCGGACGGGUGAGGAAUACAUCGGAAUCUACUUUUUCGUGGGGGAUAACGUAGGGAAACUUAAGCUAAUACCGCAUACGACCUACGGGUGAAAGCAGGGGAUCUUCUGACCUUGCGCGAUUGAAUGAGCCGAUGUCGGAUUAGCUAGUUGGCGGGGUAAAGGCCCACCAAGGCGACGAUCCGUAGCUGGUCUGAGAGGAUGAUCAGCCACACUGGAACUGAGGCACGGUCCAGACUCCUACGGGAGGCAGCAGUGGGGAAUAUUGGACAAUGGGCGCAAGCCUGAUCCAGCCAUACCGCGUGGGUGAAGAAGGCCUUCGGGUUGUAAAGCCCUUUUGUUGGGAAAGAAAAGCAGCAGGUUAAUACCCCGCUGUUCUGACGGUACCCAAAGAAUAAGCACCGGCUAACUUCGUG